RNAcentral lists this ribosomal RNA (497 nucleotides) under uncultured bacterium. RNAcentral describes it as "partial 16S ribosomal RNA". It matches the Rfam family "Bacterial small subunit ribosomal RNA", at positions 28 to 507 of the family's 1533-position model. The record is from RNAcentral.
GAUGAACGCUGGCGGCAUGCCUAAUACAUGCAAGUCGAGCGAACGGACCGGAGGCUUUCUUUUCUGAUGUUAGCGGCGGACGGGAUAGUAACACGUGGAUAACCUACCUAUAAGACUGGGAGAACUUCGGGAAACCGGAGGUAAUACCGGAUAAUAUUUUGAACAACAUGGUUCAUCAGUUAAAUACGUUCUUGCUGUCACUUAUAGAUGGAUCCGCACCGCAUUAUAUAUGUGGUAAGGUAAGGGCUAACCAAGGCAACGAUGCAUAGCCGCCCUGACAGCGUGCAGGGGCAGACCGGAACGGAGACACGGUCCAGACUCCUACGGGAGGCAGCCGAAGGGAAUCUUCCACGCUGGGCGAAAGAAUGAUGGAGAAACGGCGAAUGAGUGACGAAGGUCUUCCGAUUGUAAAACGCUGUCAUUAGGGAAGAACACAUGUUUACGUAACGGUGAACAACAUGACGGUACCUAAUCAGAAAGCAACGGCUAACUACGUG